This 1038-nucleotide long non-coding RNA is filed under the name Olea europaea subsp. europaea. The record is from RNAcentral. Lineage: Eukaryota; Viridiplantae; Streptophyta; Magnoliopsida; Lamiales; Oleaceae.
UUGUGGUGUUGGUGUUCGGCACGGUGUCCACCAGACCACCACCACCGCAGCGGGGUGGUAUCGUUCUGAAACCGCACUAGGAACCAGUAGCAAGAGAUAAUCCUUCUUUCAAUUUCAAUGGAAUUGAGGGUUUUUGUUUCAGAUUCAAAAAUUUCAAUUUCAGUGGAAUUGAGGAUUUUGGUUUCAGAUCUGAUGUCGAUAAGAAAUGGAGGGAGCUUAAGGUGGAUUGAGAAUCGGAAAAUACUUGUGAUUCGGGAAGAUUUUUUAUGCAUUCAAUUUGAAAUCAAAUUUUUUUUAUGUAGGACAGGGCGAUGGGGUGUGUGUGAACUAUGUAGGACGGGGCGCAAUGUGAUGUGUGUGAUGGUAGCAGCAGCAUGAUGGUGACAUUUUUGUGAGGCGAUAAGGGUGGAGGUUGUUUCGUGGUGGUAGAUGUAGAGAUGACGACGGUGAUGGUGUUGCUGGAGUAGGCAGUUUCAAAGCCAUUGUGUAUUGAUCACAGAUGCGACGCUCGUCGCGGUGGUGGUGGUUUUACUGCUGGUGUUGUAGUGGUGGUGAUAUCGAUGGUAGUGAUGGUGGGCGGCGUUGUUGGUGGUUGUUGGCAGUGAUGCGGUGCUUUGGAGUGGUGGGAUGAGGCGUGGGUACUGUUGGUGUUGUAGUGGUGGUGAUGUCGACGGUGGUGGCGGUAGGCAACAUCUCUGGUGGUGGUUGGUGAUAGUGCAGUUCUUUGGAGUGGUGGGUUGGGGGUGUGGGUGUAUGUGAUGAUUUUAUUGGUUGACUGAAAAUUGUGACCAACAAAUUGGUUAAUUUGUGACCAAUGCGGUGGUGGUGGUGCUGUUGGAGGCAGUGUUGAAGUGGUGGUUGUAAGUGUAGGUAAUGGUCAUAGAUUAUUCGGUUGAUUAUGACGUUAAUCUGUGAGCAAUAAAUAAUAUGUGACUAAUGAAAAAGAUAAAUUGAAACUAAGAAAUAAUGUGUGAUCUAAAAAAAUUAAUAAUUUGUGACUAUCUAAUAAGUUGUGAUCUAUAAUAUUUGUGAUUUGUG